GACUCGUCCAGGCACUCGUCCACGUCUGCGGGGAGGAAAGGCGCGAGUGGAGGGAACCGGCCCGAAGGCGGGUGGUUGUGCGUGUCUCCCGGCCGCUGUCCCACGGCCACUGGGACCGUCUGCGCUCACCCACGCACUCCAAUCUCCGCCCCGAACAAGAUGCACUCGUCGAUGUCUGCGGAGUGACAAGCCGUGGGCGCCCCGUGGCCUUUACCUGCGGGGCGGCUCAGGCCCGCAGCCAGGGAAGUGUGGGCGGGGCUUACCGCGGGAGCGGAGCAAACUCAGUGGGAGAAGGCUUUUCCGGGCGCUGACCCCUUUCCGUCUGGGCAGAGACUGUGGAACUCAGCUGCGGGGAGAGAGCGGCCGUGGGGAAGAAAGGAGGCAGGACUGAGCGCGUGCGCACUAGCCGUUGGGCUCAGGUCGGGAGCUCUCCGCUUCAUCUCCCACCGACCCCGGGAGGGGCCCUUUCCCCAGUACAUUUCCAAAAUGAAGAAACUGAGGGGCGCCUGCGUGGCUCAGUCCUUAAGCGUCUGCCUUCGGCUCAGGUCAUGAUCCCGGGGUCCUGGGAUCGAGCCCCGCAUCGGGCUCCCUGCUCGGC
This is a long non-coding RNA of Zalophus californianus (California sea lion), 598 nucleotides long. RefSeq lists it as uncharacterized. Lineage: Eukaryota; Metazoa; Chordata; Mammalia; Carnivora; Otariidae. The transcript has 3 exons. The record is from RefSeq and is a predicted model, not a curated record.